This is a non-coding RNA of Heterocephalus glaber (naked mole-rat), 8020 nucleotides long. The record is from RefSeq and is a predicted model, not a curated record. NCBI's taxonomy places the organism in Eukaryota, Metazoa, Chordata, Mammalia, Rodentia, Bathyergidae.
UUUUUGCAACUAAACCAACCCAACUGAGGGAGACAGCCUGUGUCUUAUAGAGAGAAAUGUGGGGCAGAAACCAGGAGGCCUGCAGCCUGGGUGCAGGAGAUGCUGGUGAACCCAUAAGGCAGAAGGGCAGGGCUGCCCUUGAGGCACCUGUCUUGAAAGAAGCUCUGAACUCAUGAUGAUCAUUACUCAGUGGAUUCUUUUUGUUGAUUUACAGGCUGAAAAUCACCAGGACUUUUGGCAAGCAGCUUGAUUUGUGGGCUUCUUUGCAGGAUGGAUCAAGCCAACUCCAGCAUUCAUUAGCUGUCUAUCACUUCACUGAGCUACACAUCCGGAGUUCAUUUUUGUGAGCUCUUAGCUUUAAUGAGCAGAAGCAAGGUUUCCAAGUGCACAGUCUCUCUCUUCUUCAUCUCUAGCCAAAUAGCUCAAACAAAAAAGGCAGCUAGGUUUGAUAAAAUAAUUAUACAGAGCAAUACCCAGCUGACUGAAUGAUCACAGGGAAGAAUGUUUUGAAAAUGGGAAUACACAAUCCAAAAGAGGAGAAGAAAGUAGUAGUACCCUGGGAAUUUUUACUUAUUUGACUGCUGUCUAAAGAAAAGAAAGCAGUGGCAGACUAGGACAUGCUGUGUAAAAAUAUUAAAGACAUGGCAUUAUUACUUCAUGAGCUGGCUCUAGGCUGUCAGCAUUUUCAAUAUAACCCUGUAUUUUUCAUAGAGUUAAAACUCACUGUAAAAAUGGUAUGUGCUGGGAUGAAACUUGGCACUUGUCGUAGUCGGUCUGGGAGUCCUUUCCUUAAUUUAAUUUUAUAAAACUGGAAAACACUCGGCACUUGGAGAUUUAUAGAGGGCUCUCCCUUCUGCCAUGGUCGGGGGUGUGGGGCUCACUCUAAGGUCACAGGGCGACUGACAGAAGCAGAAACACUGCUCCAGUGCACUCUGUGGCUCCUGCUUCUUUCAGGCUGGCGUACCCUUGGGCAACAAAGAUGGUCUCUAAAGCAGCGGAAAAUGAGUGGGGACUGGCACCAGAUAGUGGGUGGAGAAAAAUGAUUAAUCUAUAUUGGAAAAAUGCAGUUCUUACUCCCCAUUUGUCAGCUGCACCCCAGAAGGCUGUGGAAGAAGACAAGCCACUUUCAGUUUUACUUUGAUUCCUGGGACCUCCCAAUGAGCUAGGCAAAUAACCAGGCCAAGGCUUUCCAUGUACAUCUCCCCUCCCUCCCCCAAACCCUAACUUUAAACCAUUCCUGGAAAAAUGGAAAUAUAUAAGCCCACUUUCCAUUCCCCAAAUGUCUUUUUACUCUAGGGCAAGCUCUGGGUUUCCACUGGCCGGGGUGCACGAAUGUCUCCAUGCUCCCGAACAUCUGGGGGAAGAGCUGGAUGAAUUUCUUUUCAUGAAAAGGAGCUCCAUCCAGAUUUAUGACUUAAGGUCUUGCCCUGUCCAAGAUGCUUACUCUUGGUGACCGUCCUGCUCGCACUCGAGGGCCGCUUACCGUCUCUCAGGGUGUGAGUCUUUGCAGAAGAAGUAAAACCCCACACGUACUGAAGAAGACUGCUCACAGCCUGCACACACCCCGUGUCCGUUUUCUUCUGCCGAACCAAAGCCACAGAGCACAGCAGAGAUGAAGAAUGGCUAAUACUCAUGGCAGGUAUCCCGAGGGCCUCCUGGGCAGGGCCAGGGUUCAGUGGUGAGUCACAGGAAGGAGCAGCUGCUGACGAGGAUUCCGAGGUGGAGCUGCCAGGGCAGCACAGAGGCCUUUCCUGGAUUUAUUACUCCCGUGUAAGUCUCCUGAGUCCUGAAGCACCAGAAACUUCUCAACAAAGUAAGGAAAAUAAUGCACAAUGUGAGGGAGGUACAUGCAGGGAAAACAUUGUGUGGGGAGCUGGUGCAGGCAUGGGAGCCCUAGAGAGGCCUUUCAAAGUGUGAGGACAGUGGUGGUUGUGGUGAGUGUGAAGGACGCCGCCCACUGGCUUUUGCUGGGGCAGUGCGGUCUGGCCUCUGCUCAGGAAGAGUGUAGUCUUUCAAGGACCCACAAAAAGAGAUGUCCUCCCAAGGGGAGGUCAGAAAUCCAACAGCCCUAACUGGAAGAGCAUGGCAACAGUGGGACAUAUGUCUGAAGAGUGGACAGUAGCUGCCCAAGUGCCUCUCUUGUCUUGCAAUCUGUACUUACAAUGUGGAUUUGCUUUUGGCUCCUCAUGUCCUCUGGGUGUGGUUCUCGGAUCUCCCUGGAUCCUGUAUGCUCCAGAGACCCCCUGAGCAUUCAGUGAGGGUGCAAGGGAGAGGUGGCUCAGCUCAGAUUCCCGGGCCAGUUCUGACCAGCAAAAGCAUCAUUUGGCUUUGGAGGCUCUAAAACCAAUGGAGUCUCUUUAGGCAACUGGGGAUUUAAAGCAACCUAGGCCUGGAUGAAUACAUGCUGUUCGGCUGGAAAUGGGCACCUUCUUGACUGAAUUUGGUCUUAUUAUGGGCUUUGCACAGAGCUACAUCCAGAGCCCUUUUUCAUUUUUAGACAGAAUCUCACUAAGCUGCUCAGGCUGGGCUUGACCUUGUGAUCCUCCUCCUCUGGCAGGAUCCAACCCCCACAGUGCUGGGAAAAUGGGCAGGGCUGUGCCUGAAUAAAACUUUAUUUAUAAGGUAGUUGCAGCCUAGACUUCUCAGGGCCAAGCAGUGGUCUAGGAAAUGAGGUCAUUAAGGUUUCUGUAUACUGAGAAUAAAUGGUCUAGUAAAACCACUAAAUGCCUGUUCAAGACAUUUUCACCUCCAAAGAAAACAGCUAUUUUCAUGAGAGAAGGAAGAUGAAUUCAAUAUAACCUUUUCUAGUUAAAAUGCUCAAUUUUCUGCUUCAAAAAUACUAAUAUAUGCUUAAAGUUCAGAACAUAUGAAAAUUUAUAAAUCCUUCAAGUCUUAAUAUUCAGAGAUAAUGUUACUCUGAAUAUUACUCUGAAUGUUACUCCUUCUAACUACACAAAUGCACUUGUAUUUUGGGGAGAUUAGUAAAUCUUGGACAAUAUUCUCAUCAGCAGGUAUGGAUCUAUAUGAUUCUUUAAAAUUGCUGCUAGAGUCUAUAUAUGAAUAAAUCAGAAUCUUUUCCUUAAUUACCUUCCUACAGAUUAUUACAUUAUUUCCAAGUUUUCACUAAUAAACUAUGUUAUGGUACAUUUCUUCAUACAUAUGUUUCUGUGUCCAAAUAGCUCCAUAGAUUACAUUACUAAAGUGGCAUUGCUCUGUCAUUGAGAACCAUUUAAAAUAUUGAUAUGCACUGCCAAAUUGCCCUCCAGAGAUUUUAUACUGAUUUAUGUUUUGGGCAACAAUGUAUAUUAGGAUAUGUGACCCAAUUUUUGGAUACUGUGGUCAGCAGGGAGAAAAAUGCUUCACCUCUUCCCCCAAAUGCACAUUGUAAUUACUGAAAUUUAUGAAUAUACUACCUCACAUUGAAAAGGGGACUUUGCAGAUGUGAUCAAGAAAGAAUCUGGAGAUGGGAGAUUAUCCUAGGUACUCCAAGUUGGCCCAAAGUAAUCAAGAAGGGUCCUUGUACAGUAACAGGGGAAACAGUUCAUAGAGAUGUGGGGAUACUCUGCUGCUGCCCUGAAGAUGGGAGAAAGGCCUCAUCCAAGGAAUACAGGUGGCUUUCUAGAAGCUGGCAAAGGCGAGGGGAUGGAUUUUACCUUCGUAUGUGGUACUGAGAUGAGCCAGGCACACAGGGCCACUGCUGUGGUCUGAAUGGCCCCUCCAACCUUCAUAUGUAGGAACUUUAAUUCUCCAAUAAGGCGGUGUUAGGAGGUAGAGUCUAGAGGGAGGGGGCUGGGCCAGGGGAACAGACUCUUCAUGAAGGAAUUGAUGUCUUUCUCAUGAAGUGGGUUCGCUAUCUUGGGACUUCAGCCUCCUUUCCCCUCUUCCACACACAUCUACUUGAUCUUCUGCUUUCCAUCAUGCAACGAAGCAGCACCAAGAAACCCUCACCAGAAGGUGAGUAGACACAAGUGCUGUGCUCUUGGAUUUUCAUCGUCCAGAUCCAUGAGACAAAAUAGCCUCUUUUCUUUGUAAAUUAUUGUGUCUCAGGUAUUGUGUCAUAGCAACUGGAAAUGGACUCUGCCAUCGUGGUAACCUGGUAAGAGUCUGAGAGCCUGAGUCAGAUGAGGAAGGGGUCUCUGUGUGGAUGAGGGCAGCAGUGAUAGGAGACUGUUUAUGCAGAGAGGGUCAAUCAAACAAUAUAUUAAGAAUAAUGGGAACCAGAUAAUUACAGAUAUGGAAAGAAAAGAUGGAAGAAUCCUGUGUUGUUGGAUCAGAAUUAGAGGUAUAAGAGAAAAUUCAUGGUUUGAUGUAUAGACAAAUGUGGAAGUGGUGUGUGUAUAUUCACAUACAUGCAGACAGGGGUACCUCAGUUCAUGAACAAUUAUGUUUGCAAACAAUCUGGUUUGCAAACAGAAACGUUUGGCAAGUUUGUUUUUGGUUGCAAACUCUGCAUCGGGUGACAAACACUACCACGGCCAUCUUUCCCACACAAACACAAAUGUGGCCAUCUUUUCCAAAAUCAUAGAACAAAUUAAUUGUGAGCCAAGGUGCCAUUGCAUACUUAUAUCCAUACCUGUAUGCACUGAAAAUAGCGACACUCUGAUAGCAACAAGUACACCUAAGAAUGACAUCUUCAUUUUUAAUACUGUUCUUCAGGGCUAGAGCAGAAAAGGUUCAGGAUGAUCCAAGAACAUCUCCUGUGCCACAAAGUGAGAAGUGCUCAAAGAAGGGUAUGGAUGUGUCAAAAGAAACAGCAGCUGCUUUAAGGUUCACUGGCUGAAGCUGGGAUUUUUUUUGUUUUUUACAAAAAAUAAAGGAGGACAGCAAAAGGUUACAGUCCAUGGGGUAAGACUGGAACCCAUGAUUCAUGUAGACAGAAGCAAAUGAGUGGUAAAUUCAGCAAGGAUUAGAAUAUUUACCAUCAUCUCAAAGUGCCUCCCUAUAAAAUGCAUAUUAAUUACAAGAGAAAAAGAAUACUUUUACAAUACAAAUGCCUGAAAGGUGCCACCUUAAUCAGGUGAUGGAAUUCACAUCAGCAGCAGCUUACAGAAGAAAUUGUGAUAAUGUGGUUGGGUGCAGUGAGGAGAGCCCAGCAUCACACCUGGGAUGUUUCUGCCCAAGAUGCACAACUCCAGCCUGGUUCCAAGGAAAUGCCAGACACAUCCAAAUAGUGGGACACAUUUAAAACAGGUCUGGAAUUUUCAAAAGUAUUACAGUCAUAAAAGUCAAAGGGAGUCCAAGGAACUGUUUCAGGUUUGGAAAGACUUAAGAGACAUGACAACUAAAUGCAAUGUGUGACUGCAUUAUUUUGCUAACAACAGUACGGACACAAUGGACAAACUGUAAAGGAACAGGGUGGGGUCAGCAGCUCAGUGUGAAAUGGGUCAGGGAGAAAAAGCUCUUUGUAUUAUACUUCCAACUUGUGUGUAAAACAGAUUAUUUCAAAGUUAAAGUACUGUACACUAAAGAAAAAAGACAUUUUUAUACCAAAUUAAGAAAGACAACCACAUGUGAAAACCACAGGAGAAAGAAAAGCCUGGCAUAUGUUCCAAAGCCUUGGGUUGUGGAGGACAGAGUAGUGAGUAUCCAGGACACAAAGUUGGUGGUGGCUCAGAUUCACCUCCCACCCAUCGUGGCUUCUGAAUACUUUCUCCUUUCUCCACUCGUUUCUGCUCUGAAAAUAAGUGUCUUCUCUAGUCACUAAAUCCUACAGACAACUCAAAGUCUGUAAAUAACAACUUUUUAAAAAAUGCAAAUGCUGAUGAUUUCUCCUCUGAUUUAAAAACAUCUUUCUUAAAAUUCGGCAAGAGGGCUGGGGAUUUAGUUCAGUGGUUAUGCUGCCUGUUUCAAAAGUUCAAGGACCCGAGUUUGAUCCCUGGUACCAAAAAAAAAAAAAAAAAAAAAAAAAAAAUCGGCAAGAGCAAGUUUAUCAUUCAAUUGCUGUUAAUCAAACUAAAAGUUAUUUAAAGUGAAGUUUAAUUAGCCGAAUUACAAUUGUCUGAAUAGGCAAAGCUUACACGGCUGUCCCUCCAAAUUGAUCAGAGACCGGGCCAGGGCCCUCUUGGGCACUGAAAGCUGAGAUGCUCGGGUCCCCUGUGUACAUGGUGUAGUAUCUGCAUAUAACACACAUCCUCCUGAGCACUUUAGUCCCGUGUAGAUUACUUGUAAUACCUAAGGCUAUGUAAAUGCUAUGUUGUAUUAUAUUGUCUAGGGAAUGUCAACAAAAAUAUCUGUACAUAUUCAGUGUAAGUACAAACUUUUUCUGGUUACUAAUUUUUGACUGUUUUUGGUUUAAUCCUUGGAUGUGGAACUGGCAGGUUUAGAUGACAGGCUGUAUUUUAAUUGAUCAAAAUACUAUUUUAUAAUAACAUCAAGUUUUGUAUAGAACACGUGCAGGUCCACAACCAGCCAACAAGCCAGCCAGCCAGCCAGCCAGCCAAGGAAAACCUCUGCCACGGUUACUUCACAAAAGCUUCACUUUUCUUUCCCUUUAACUUUUGUAAUACUUUUUUCCUCUCUGCAGUCAGACCAUGUUACAGAUGAUUUCAGUGUGUUAAGCAGAAGCUCUUCAGCAAAAUCUGGUGUGCCUCUGAAUUGCCUUGAUAAAUGUUUCUCUGAACUGUGGUAUGGAGUGAGGGUCUGAGAUGCCAGCAAAGUUCAUGAAGGCAGAGAGCAAUGAGAUUAGAAGCAGAGAAUUGAACAGGCUGUGCAGUCUUUACUGCACACACAGGGAAGCUGUGGUCAUCUUCUGCAGGGCCUACAUCUUUGUCUGGGCUCGGAAAGCUGGCAGGAUAACAGAAACAUGGACUGGUGCUGGUUUAUCUCUUCCGAUACCACUUCAAAGAGUCACAUAUUCCAUACAAUGGUCCCUGACAGGUUCCAGAAGGACCUUGAAUGCAUUUUGGUCUUAUCUCCUUGGCAACAAAACAUAGAGGGAGCUCAUUAUUUUUGAGCAGCACUGCCAACAGAGAAAUGAAGAAUUCCAUAAUCAUAAUGGAGUUCCACAGAAAAAGAUUCUUGAUGGAAUGAUGCUUUUGGAGUUAAAUUUUUCUUUCUACAUACUUUUCAGAGAUAAGGUACUAAAGGUGAAGGGUGAAAGAGUUUGAACUUUUAAGCAGAUAUAGACAUAUUAGAUUAUAUUCCACGAAUAAGAGUACAAUCAUUAUUAUCACCAUUUUUUCCUUUGGCCUAACAUACCUGUGGCCUGAUCAGCUUUCUACACUUUGCUUUGAUAGGCUACAGUGGGUGGGGAACAGCAGGUAGUCAGCAAAACCUCUUUUAAAACUCUAUAGAUUUCAAAGACAGUGAAAAUCCUUUUCUAUUUUUAGGAAUGUUACCACAACCCUCAUAUGGGGAUGUCCUACAAAAUGCCUCUCAUAAUGAAAAAUGAAACUCAGUCUUUUCUGCCCAGAGCAGCACUGAUCAGGCCCAAAGCUCAGCUUCUUCUCCAAGACUCAUUUUUUCUACCUUUCCUGUAUACUAAGUUAAUUCACCUUGUGCUGCCGUGGCUCGCAGGAGACUAGGACUUACUGCAGAGGUUCUAGUAACGUCCCCUUUCCCUGUUCCCUACAUUUGGCGCCCAACGUGGACGUAAAUCGGAUCCACAAGCGAACUCGUCUGUGAGACAAACUCGGAGUAAAAGAGACAGCACAUGGAUCUCCCAGGACGAUUUCCGGACUUGGAUGAGGGACACUGGUGGUGCUGUUUUUCCACUGAGCUUUUAAAAAAACUCUGUCAGUGAUCCUGGUUUACAGCCAUGAUUAAGAACCCUCAUGGAUCUAAGAAGCGGCAAUAACGUGGCUAAGGUUCUUCAAGUAUUGGUGAUCAGACACAUUUGGAACUUGCUGGAUUGCUUGCAAAAUUCUUCUGUAGAGGAGAACUUGUUGCCUUCUCAGGAACUGCUUUAGAGUUAGCAUCCCUGGAGGUUAUGGUGAGGACAAUAAUGUGAAAAUCUGUCAUCGUUAACUCUGUUGGAGAGUUUUGAAGACACUACCGAGGAUUAAAUGAUCUGGAAAAUUCA